GGGGAUUUAGCUCAGUGGCAUAAGCACCUGCCUUGCAAGCAGGCAGGCAUAGUUUGAUCCCUG
RNAcentral lists this transfer RNA (63 nucleotides) under Cavia porcellus (domestic guinea pig). It matches the Rfam family "tRNA". Rfam says of the family: Transfer RNA (tRNA) molecules are approximately 80 nucleotides in length. Their secondary structure includes four short double-helical elements and three loops (D, anti-codon, and T loops). The record is from Rfam by way of RNAcentral. Lineage: Eukaryota; Metazoa; Chordata; Mammalia; Rodentia; Caviidae.